AAGUCGUAACAAGGUCUCCGUUGGUGAACCAGCGGAGGGAUCAUUACUGAGUUACCGCUCUACAACCCUUUGUGAACAUACCUAACUGUUGCUUCGGCGGGCAGGGGGCCCCCCCGGGGACCCCCUCCCGGCCGCGCCCGUCGAGGGCGUGGCGCCCGCCGGAGGAUACCACACUCUAUUUUAACGACGUUUCUUCUGAGUGGCACAAGCAAAUAAUUAAAACUUUUAACAACGGAUCUCUUGGUUCUG
This 249-nucleotide unclassified non-coding RNA is filed under the name air metagenome. Its description in RNAcentral is "partial contains small subunit ribosomal RNA, internal transcribed spacer 1, and 5.8S ribosomal RNA". The stretch from base 1 to 46 matches the Rfam family "Eukaryotic small subunit ribosomal RNA", at positions 1786 to 1831 of the family's 1831-position model. The record is from RNAcentral.